GAUGAACGCUAGCUACAGGCUUAACACAUGCAAGUCGAGGGGCAGCAUAGGGUUUGCUUGCAGACUCUGAUGGCGACCGGCGCACGGGUGAGUAACGCGUAUCCAACCUGCCCAUUACUCAGGUAUAGCCCAGUGAAAACUGGAUUAAUCCCUGAUGCGGUCUCGUGCAGACAUCUAAGCGAGACCAAAGUUUUCAACGGUAAUGGAUGGGGAUGCGUCUGAUUAGCUUGUUGGCGGGGUAACGGCCCACCAAGGCGACGAUCAGUAGGGGUUCUGAGAGGAAGGUCCCCCACAUUGGAACUGAGACACGGUCCAAACUCC
Molecule: ribosomal RNA, 321 nt
Filed under: uncultured Prevotella sp.
Lineage: Bacteria; Pseudomonadati; Bacteroidota; Bacteroidia; Bacteroidales; Prevotellaceae
Description: bacterial SSU rRNA
Rfam family: Bacterial small subunit ribosomal RNA
Source: RNAcentral